AAUAUAACCAGAUGCUCCGCAGGGCGCAGCUUUAUACGACCGCAGAGGUUGAACCCUGAACGGUUGGGGCAAGUAUGGACACAACAUUCAAGCUGGAUUCAGCUCUAAAUUUUGAUUGUGAUUAAAUAGUUGACACAGCAUAGGUUUCUGACACAGAAUGAAUGUGGUCUAAUGAACUUAAAAUAUUUUUUUGCCUUUGAGCAAUUCACUAUGCUGUUGAAUAUUAAUCCUCUCAAAAAAA
Molecule: long non-coding RNA, 241 nt
Filed under: Mytilus galloprovincialis (Mediterranean mussel)
Lineage: Eukaryota; Metazoa; Mollusca; Bivalvia; Mytilida; Mytilidae
Source: RNAcentral